RNAcentral lists this ribosomal RNA (104 nucleotides) under uncultured bacterium. RNAcentral describes it as "partial 16S ribosomal RNA". It matches the Rfam family "Bacterial small subunit ribosomal RNA", at positions 1378 to 1482 of the family's 1533-position model. The record is from RNAcentral.
CCGUUGUACACACCGCCCGUCACACCAUGGGAGCGGGUUCUGCCAGAAGUAGUUAGCCUAACCGCAAGGAGGGCGAUUACCACGCAGGGUUCGUGACUGGGGUG